Molecule: long non-coding RNA, 374 nt
Organism: Talpa occidentalis (Iberian mole)
Lineage: Eukaryota; Metazoa; Chordata; Mammalia; Eulipotyphla; Talpidae
Exons: 3
Source: RefSeq, a predicted model, not a curated record
AUUCUCGUUGCAUUUCUUUUACCUCGGGCUGAAGAUCUUCUCAAACUUGGCACUGCCUCAGUGAGGACGAGGAGACCCAGAGGCGGUACCGUCGGUCCAGACUCUCAGUGUCCAGACGGCAGAAACCAAACCCUGGGGCCAAGGGGAUCUGGGUCUGCACAUGAAUGAAAUCAUGUGGUAUUUGUCUUUCUCCUUCUGACUGACUUCACUUAACACAACCACCUCCAGGCCCACCCAUGUUGUCACAAAUGGCAAGAGGUCAUCUUUUUCAUAGCAAAAACAGCCUCUCCAUCCAUCCCAGCCUCCUCAUUUCUGGUGCUUUUACAGUAAACGGAGCGAGAGGAGUGACGCAUGUUGAAUGUGAGAGAUUAACG